Molecule: long non-coding RNA, 2208 nt
Organism: Myotis brandtii (Brandt's bat)
Lineage: Eukaryota; Metazoa; Chordata; Mammalia; Chiroptera; Vespertilionidae
Exons: 2
Source: RefSeq, a predicted model, not a curated record
GCACAAGGGGACCCACUCAGUGCCAGCCCGCUGUGCCCGGGCAUCCCAGCCCUGGGUCCACAGUGUGAACUGGAGGCUCCUGACUGACCAAGGAGGCAAACAGCCGGGGCAGGGCAGGGACUGUAUCUGUGCAGCUUCCCCAGUGAGUGACAAGGGGACGGAUCUUGCAUGACGAGGAAGACUGAGAAGCCGGACAAGCUUUCCGGGUCUUACUUCAGUCUGCAAACAUCACCUUUCUAGAAGGGCUGUGGUGCACGGUGGUGCUUGCACCGUCGGGGUGGGCGAGAGUGCUUUCAGAAAGCAGAGCUGAGUGGGCCUCUGAGGGGCAGUGAGUACGUGCAGGCUGUGGGUGCCGGAGUCGGGGCUGUCUUCAUGGAAACCUGAAUGUGAGUGCUGCGACAUGUGCAUGGCAUAGGGAGCCCUGGGCCUGCAUGAGAUCGGACAGGGGGAGUGGAGAGGUGUCUGAAGAGCAGGAGAUGCUGGGCGACUGGCCUGGUGCAAGCAAAGGCCACUGAGCAGCAGGGCUGGAGAAGAGGAAGCCCAGAGGAGGUCGGAUCGAGGAGACCGUGUCGCAGCGGCUUCAAUGGCAGCAGGAAAACCCUAAGGCAGCUAACCCACAUAAAAGGAGAUAACUGCACAGCAAAAGCUACUUAAGAGUUAAAAAAAACAAACAAACGAGAAUCAGAAACCGCGGAGGCAAAGGUCUAAUUAGUCUAAGAAUUCUAGUAAACCGACACGAAAGACCAACAACCUGAUCCACGUGGGCAAAGGAUGCCAACAGGGAAGGAAAUGUGACUAACACCGAAAUCCCACAAAAUACGCGUAGUCCCUUCUGUACGCACAAGUUGUACGCAUCUACGGUCUCCCACCCUCACUGCAGACCAGGCCUCGGUGUGCAUUGCCGGUGGACACAGACGGGAAGCCCGUAAUGCAAGAGACGUCAGAUGGCACCUUUCCCACACUGUGGUCCUGCAGCUGUGCUCCCCCCUGUGAAGUGACCUACGUACUUGGUUUCUCAGUUCAUUACUGAAAAGUAACCCAAACGUCAGCAGGAGCCCGGGCGGACACAGUGUGCGCACAGUGGGGCUCUGCAGCCGUCCAAGGACGGCCCUGGCUGCACAGGGGAUGCCAGGCAUGGAGCAGGUGCAUUUGAGCGUGUUUGCUCCUGUAUGUACGCGCUCUGGAAGGACACGUCAUGCUGGCUGCGGGGGAGCAGGGCGGUGUGACAGGCAGGAUUCACUGAUAUUCUCAGAGAAUCAACCUGUUUUACCCCUCCUGGGCACUCACUGAGGACUCCCUCUGCCUUUUGAAUUUUCUAACGUGUGAGUUACUCAGAAUAUUCUCAUGGUGAAGAUGCUGGCUACACAGAAAACAUUCACUGGAGGUGCCGGGGAGCAGCCAGGAGACUGGCGGGGAGACCCAGGUGGCUGAGGGACCAGUGUUUGAAGGCAUCAAAUCCCCAAAGAUGAAGAGAAAAGGAAACACCACUGACCUCUGGAAAGCAGAGGGGCAGGUGACUGUAGAGACUGGAGAAGGCGAACACUAAGUCAGCAGGAGGGAAACAAAAUCAACCUGUUUUACCCCAAAGAACAUUCGGAAAGUUCAGGAGUCGGAGGUACCAGGUACAUCUGGCCGUGCAGGGUGAGGGGUGCCAUGCAGGUCAGGGAGAAGCUGGGCAGGGCAAGGGCAAGGACCAGCUCUAGGCUCUGUCUGCACAGGAUGCUGAGCAGACAGCGGGCUCUGUUGUCGCUUGGAUUCUGGGUCUCCUCCCAUCUUGGCCAAAGGCGGGGUUGAGGCAGGAGACCAACUGAGGAAGUUAAGGGGUUAAGUGAAGUCACAUUGUGUGCUGAGCAGCAGCCUCUCCUGGGAUACUGGCAAAAGGCUGGAAGUGCCUUCCUGGGGGGCACGGGUGCCUCAAACAGUCCAGCCAGAGUACCUGACAGAUCUUCACUGGCACCCACUGACACCCCCUCUCCCCACUCAUAUCCCCCAAGAUGUGGGUCUUGGGGAGUGAUGCCUCCAUGUCUUUCCCAGCCCCUCACCCACCUGCUCAGAGCUCCCAGAUUGGUGGUCCCCGUCUUAAACAUAAGCAAACAACUUGGAGGGAACAGAGACCAUAUUGGGAGAAGAAAACCUAAAACAAGUUACUGAUAUUCUCAGACAAAUAAGAAAAGACAUUGUAACUGUGAGGACAACAGGAAGUGGCUA